GUACAAUAAGCUAAAUAAGGGCGUAUGGCGGAUGCCUAGGCUUUCAGAGGCGAUGAA
RNAcentral lists this ribosomal RNA (57 nucleotides) under Tenacibaculum sp. M341. RNAcentral describes it as "partial 23S ribosomal RNA". Lineage: Bacteria; Pseudomonadati; Bacteroidota; Flavobacteriia; Flavobacteriales; Flavobacteriaceae. The record is from RNAcentral.